CCUACGGGUGGCAGCAGUGGGGAAUAUUGGACAAUGGGGGGAACCCUGAUCCAGCGACGCCGCGUGAGCGAAGAAGUAUUCCGGUAUGUAAAGCCCUAUCAGCAGGGCAGAAAGAAAUGACGGUACCUGACUAAGAAGCCCCGGCUUACUACGGGCCAGCAGCCGCGGUAAUACGUAGGGGGCAAGCGUUCUCCGGAUUUACUGGGGGUAAAGGGAGCGUAGGCGGUUACGCAAGUCUGGAGUGAAAGGCAGGUGCCCAACCCCCGGACAGUUUUGGAAACUGUAUAACUGGAGUGCGGGAGAGGUAAGUGGAAUUCCUGGUGUAGCGGUGAAAUGCGUAGAUAUUAGGAGGAACACCGGUGGCGAAAGCGGCUUACUGGACUGUAACUGACGUUGAGGCUCGAAAGCGUGGGGAGCAAACGGGAUUAGAUACCCGGGUAGUC
RNAcentral lists this ribosomal RNA (443 nucleotides) under uncultured bacterium. RNAcentral describes it as "partial 16S ribosomal RNA". It matches the Rfam family "Bacterial small subunit ribosomal RNA", at positions 338 to 795 of the family's 1533-position model. The record is from RNAcentral.